This 368-nucleotide long non-coding RNA is filed under the name Pan troglodytes (chimpanzee). RNAcentral's name for it is "long non-coding RNA NONPTRT003719". Lineage: Eukaryota; Metazoa; Chordata; Mammalia; Primates; Hominidae. The record is from RNAcentral.
CCAAAGGCAGGCGUGCAGGGCCUUGGCUACUGCGCUAGGUCUGCUGAUGGCCACAAGCCUUUAGUCCCAGCUCUGCCUUAGCAGUGGGGGUGUCUGAAGGCUCAGGGGAUACACAGGUCCUCUAGGUUCCUGGGGAGAUGAUGAGUGAGAGUUUUGACCAGGAGUGGAUACUGAGGAGAGCAAAGAUCACCUGGUCCUCAUCAAGCCGGACUUCCAGAGGCAAAGCUCCUUAACUGAGGAAUUCAGAAAUGAUCCAGUGCAAGACCCUGAGAAGCCCACAGGAGAAGAAGAAUCCCUAAAGUGAGAGAAACCUGGGCCCUUGAGUGACUGCAUGGAGAAGAGCCCCAUCAUUGACUCAUGUUAGACUG